This 443-nucleotide ribosomal RNA is filed under the name uncultured bacterium. RNAcentral's name for it is "partial 16S ribosomal RNA". It matches the Rfam family "Bacterial small subunit ribosomal RNA", at positions 28 to 507 of the family's 1533-position model. The record is from RNAcentral.
GAUGAACGCUGGCGGCAUGCCUAACACAUGCAAGUCGAUCGGUAAGGCUCUUCGGAGUACACGAGAGGCGGACGGCUGAGUAACGCGUAGGAACACACCCUGCAGUGAGGGAUAAGACACCGAAAGGUGUUCUAAUACCGCAUACGGUCUUCGGAUUAAAGCAUUUAUGCGCUGAAGGAGUGGCCUGCGUCAUAUUAGAUAGUUGGUGAGGUAAUGGCUCACCAAGUCGAUGAUGUGUAGCUGGUCUGAGAGGAUGAUCAGCCAGACUGGAACUGAGACACGGUCCAGACUCCUACGGGAGGCAGCAGUGAGGAAUAUUUCACAAUGAGCGAAGGCUUGAUGGAGCAAUGCCGCGUGCAGGAUGAAGGCCCUCGGGUUGUAAACUGCUUUUAUAAGAGAAGAUUAUGACGGUAACUUAUGAAUAAGAGACGGCUAACUACGUG